GGCGACAGUGUUUUUGUGUGCUGCGAUGAAGUUGCUGCUGCUGGGAGAUGAUGAACUGAGAGCUUUGGCAAUCUGGAAAACCACAACAUGAGAGACAUUUGAUUCUGGAAGCUGCUAUGCUAGCCCAAUAUAAAUUUUAAAGUUAUACAUAUUCCCAACAGAAAGCUCUUAUUUACACUGCAUGGCCAGAUAGACUGUGAGUGAGUAACCAUGGCAACACGCUGCUGUGAGCCAGGCUCUGGUGCUGUGCAG
Molecule: long non-coding RNA, 252 nt
Organism: Microtus oregoni (creeping vole)
Lineage: Eukaryota; Metazoa; Chordata; Mammalia; Rodentia; Cricetidae
Exons: 3
Source: RefSeq, a predicted model, not a curated record